Molecule: ribosomal RNA, 497 nt
Filed under: uncultured bacterium
Lineage: Bacteria
Description: partial 16S ribosomal RNA
Rfam family: Bacterial small subunit ribosomal RNA
Source: RNAcentral
GAUGAACGCUGGCGGCGUGCCUAAUACAUGCAAGUCGAGCGAACAGACGAGGAGCUUGCUCCUCUGACGUUAGCGGCGGACGGGUGAGUAACACGUGGAUAACCUACCUAUAAUACUGGGAUAACUUCGGGAAACCGGAGCUAAUACCGGAUAAUAUAUUGAACCGCAUGGUUCAAUAGUGAAAGACGGUUUUGCUGUCUCUUAUAGAUGGAUCCGCGCCGUAUUAGCUAGUUGGUAAGGUAACGGCUUACCAAGGCUACGAUGCGUAGCCGAACUGAGAGGGUGAUCGGCCGCCCUGGAACUGAGACGCGGACCAGACUCCUACGGGAGGCAGCAGUAGGGAAUCGGCCGCAAUAGGCGAAAGCCUGACGGAGCAACGCCGCGUGAGUGAUGAAGGUCUUCGGAUCGGAAAACUCUGUUAUUAGGGAAGAACAAAUGUGUAAGUAACUAUGCACGUCUUGACGGUACCUGAUCAGAAAGCCACGGCUAACUACGUG